GACGAACGCUGGCGGCGUGCUUAACACGUGCAAGUCGAACGGAAAGGCCCUGCUUUUGUGGGGUGCUCGAGUGGCGAACGGGUGAGUAACACGUGAGUAACCUGCCCUUGACUUUGGGAUAACUUCAGGAAACUGGGGCUAUACCGGAUAGGGGCUCCUGCUGCAUGGUGGGGGUUGGAAAGUUUCGGCGGUUGGGGAUGGACUCGCGGCUUAUCAGCUUGUUGGUGGGGUAGUGGCUUACCAAGGCUUUGACGGGUAGCCGGCCUGAGAGGGUGACCGGCCACAUUGGGACUGAGAUACGGCCCAGACUCCUACGGGAGGCAGCAGUGGGGAAUAUUGCACAAUGGGCGGAAGCCUGAUGCAGCAACGCCGCGUGCGGGAUGACGGCCUUCGGGUUGUAAACCGCUUUCGCCUGUGACGAAGCGUGAGUGACGGUAAUGGGUAAAGAAGCACCGGCUAACUACGUG
Molecule: ribosomal RNA, 467 nt
Filed under: uncultured bacterium
Lineage: Bacteria
Description: partial 16S ribosomal RNA
Rfam family: Bacterial small subunit ribosomal RNA
Source: RNAcentral